Molecule: non-coding RNA, 625 nt
Organism: Pantherophis guttatus
Lineage: Eukaryota; Metazoa; Chordata; Lepidosauria; Squamata; Colubridae
Source: RefSeq, a predicted model, not a curated record
GAAAGGCUCCGCCCUCGACUCCUUCCCGACGCUGAAAACUGAUUGGCUGCUUGGCCUGUCGCUUGGAAGGGGCAGGCAACGGAACCUCGCCGUUUCGGCUCAGCGCGAGCCGACUGGGAUUUCUCAUUGGUGGAAACUAAGCGACGGGGGCGAAGUUGGACUCCGGCUCGCGGCUGGAUUGUCCGCCGUGGGAUUCGCGGGGCCUUCUUGAGCUCUGGCGGUGAAGACGGGGAGCGGCCAUCUUAAAAGAGAUGCAUAUCCUGACAGCCAAUCCAGAAACAUUUUGAAUAAACAAUAAAACAUAUUCCAACAGCAUAAAUAAAACUUGAAGAAGAAUUGAUUUCCAAUUUCUUGUGAGAGAAGAGUGAAGAGUAUCUGCCUUCCUUUGCUAUACCGCCGUUUUAGAAUUGAUCAAUUAAAAACAUAGACACAGGAGCAGGCUAGAUUCUUCAUGAUGGGAAAAUCAGACGAUGUUAUUAAUCAUGUCAUCCUUAUUUAUAUCCAGAUCCUCUCUUAGUUUUCGUCUUCUAGACCAGAAGAAAUAUUUCUGCUGGAAAGCUUCAUAGGGUGUAUCUUUGCAACAUCAACGUAUAGACUCUGACGUAAACAAUUAAAAUUCUAAUAG